UCCCAAAGUGUUGGGGUUACAGGCGUGAGCCACCACGCCCGGCUGUCAGUCAGUUUUCAAGUGCCUGCUGGGUGCCCCCAAGAGCUGUGGAAGAUUUGCAGAAACAUCCUGGCAACCCUUAUCCCUCUCACUCUCAGGUCUUCCUUUUUGGCAUACUCUUCAAGGCCUUUUUGGCCUUGAAGAAUGAGGAAGAUGUAUGAAGGAAGCAAUUGAUACUGUAGAGUGGUUCUGUCAGAGGGAAAAUACCUUUAAAUCAUCCACAGGAAUGACCGGCCUUCAAAUACAGCUCAGUAUUGAGGAAUGAAUGCACCUGUAGGGCGGAAUCUAGUCUAUUCUCUGCUUCUUAGCAACCUGGUUCCCUCAGCCCUGCAAGGUAGAUGAAUGGGUGUGUGUCCCGUCCUGGGUUAUUCAGAGAACAGAAGCCUUCCUCUUCACACCAGUGGGCUCAAGUUUUUACUUGUAAUUUUAGACAAUCCUCAGGACUUGUUCCAUAAUUAUGCAUUUUCACAGAUAAAAGACUCAUCAGUAAAGAUAUCAUGAGAAUUUCCAGAGUAAAUACUUAGGGGUGUCAUUCACACCAGCCGGAUUAUGUGUUCUCCGGAUCUAACCAUCCGCAGAGAAAUUCGUGAGAAUGUGAGCGGCUCCUCUCACCUCGAUGAGUUCUUCAGCCCCGCCGCUCAUUGACUUGAACCGCUGCAAAGUCAUGCAAUGGUGGACAGAGCCCUGAUCAGAAGCCCAUCCUGGGAAUUUGGGACAAGGACCGGGAGAGAUUCAGAGUCCCUUCCUGUGGCUGGAACCGUGAGAGAGAGAGAGAGACCUCAGAGGAGAGAGGAGGAAGGGAGAGAGAUCCAGAGGUGUCCAGGGUUGCAAAUGAGCAUCGUGAAGACCAAAAGACCUGCAGCAAGAGGGAGGAAGCAAGGACUGGAAAAUCUACACGAGGAAUGCCCAAACUCUCCAACAAGCUAGAAAAUUCAUUGUGAAUGGGGUUCAGUCUUCCACACUGCCUGUUGUUCCAUCCUCAGUGCUGGGCCCAAGGCUUCUUACUUCAGAGAAAAAUGGGCAAACUCCCAUACUUAUGUAAAAGCAGAAUGAAAGCCCCCGCCCUUUACUUACUGUUUUAGUAUCAACACAAUGCAGAGAUUCUUACAUAAUAAAGAACUAACAGUAACACUUAGCAACCAUGGCUCACAGCCCUUCUCAGCUCCCCAACAUUCCUUCUAGAGAUAUGAAGCCUGUCAUCACCAGCUAGGCAGAGGACAAACAUUCCCAAUGAAGAUAGACAACCCAGGCUCUGCAACGUCUCAGCCAGAAGCGUUGAGUUGUUUUUAAUUUUUUACAUACUCCAUGCCUCUGGUGCCUCUCCACCUCCACC
Molecule: non-coding RNA, 1372 nt
Organism: Chlorocebus sabaeus (green monkey)
Lineage: Eukaryota; Metazoa; Chordata; Mammalia; Primates; Cercopithecidae
Source: RefSeq, a predicted model, not a curated record